This 1016-nucleotide long non-coding RNA is filed under the name Bemisia tabaci. RNAcentral describes it as "lncRNA ENSSSA1UGG011972". Lineage: Eukaryota; Metazoa; Arthropoda; Insecta; Hemiptera; Aleyrodidae. The record is from RNAcentral.
GUAAAAAAUGGAGGCUGUCAAUGGUAAAAAAUUGAGACCGCCAACAUCAACGAUUUGUCAGCGUCGGCAUACGGUUUCGAUAGGUUUUUGGUGUUGUUUCAAAGACAAAAAGAGGGUAGUCAUAAAAAAGAUGAUAAUUUUCACUGACGAAGGUAGUGCAUUACCGUUUUUUAGCCAAUAAUGCGGUGAAAAUCUCAAAAUUUUCAACAUUCGGAGAAUCUUCACAGUGUAAUUCCAGGGUGUCUACAAGUCCAGAAUUUCCGGAAAGUUCGGAAAUAGUACUGAUUUUUUAAGAACGGUCCGGAAGUACUGAAAAAGUGCGGAAAUUCCAUUAGAAGGUCCGGAAUUUUCCAUUUUUGUCGUAAUUUUAAAGAGAAAUGCAAAUGUUCGAGAUUUUUUCGAAUUUCGUCAAAUGGAGGCACUGAAAAAGUACUGGAUUUUUCCGUUGAGGAGGUACUGAAUUUCUUGGGAAUAUACUGAAAAAGUACUGUAAAAGUACUGAUUUUUGGCCAUCCUGUUUUAGUAGCUAUCCUGAAAAAGUAAUGAGUGGUUUUGAAAUUUCCCGUGGGAAUACGGGGCCAUACCAUGCGCGAAGCAGUCCUUUGGAAAAACGGCAUAAGAUUCACUUCGUGGAUGAAUCUUGUCAGCUACCUCUCUCUACCAUCGAGCAAGAGGGCACGGUGCAAAACAAAAUGUCUUCGGGAAUCCUGAUUGGAAGUAAUGAAAAAGACACGUGGGUCACAGAUAAUCAAAAGAAUGUUGAGGAAGACCACGAAGGUGUUUUAAAUCACUCGCUUCUUGUGAUGGCUGAAGCAGACGCACAGAAAUUGAAGGUCAGAAGCUGGUUCAGUCGUAGAAAAAGUUUGAAGAAGAAUGGCCACCACUCUCAUAAGUGUUGCGUGUUGUGCCCUUGGAGACGACGUACUCGGGAGAAGGGUUGUGGACAACUCAUAGAGGAAGAUGAAAAAGAUCAAUGGUUGAGUGUAUGCGGUUGUUUCUGCUGCUUCUUGUUAUGA